AGUCUCGUGGUGUAUUACAUACUGGAUUGCAAAUCCAUAGAUGCCGAGUAGUUUCGGCCGGGGCUU
This 66-nucleotide transfer RNA is filed under the name Lophiosilurus alexandri (Pac-Man catfish). RNAcentral's name for it is "tRNA-Cys". The record is from RNAcentral. Lineage: Eukaryota; Metazoa; Chordata; Actinopteri; Siluriformes; Pseudopimelodidae.